CCUACGGGAGGCAGCAGUGGGGAAUUUUGGACAAUGGGCGCAAGCCUGAUCCAGCAAUGCCGCGUGAGUGAAGAAGGCCUUCGGGUUGUAAAGCUCUUUUGUCAGGGAAGAAACGGUGAAGGCUAAUAUCUUUUGCUAAUGACGGUACCUGAAGAAUAAGCACCGGCUAACUACGUGCCAGCAGCCGCGGUAAUACGUAGGGUGCAAGCGUUAAUCGGAAUUACUGGGCGUAAAGCGUGCGCAGGCGGUUUUGUAAGUUUGUCGUGAAAUCCCCGGGCUCAACCUGGGAAUGGCGAUGAAGACUGCAAGGCUAGAAUCUGGCAGAGGGGGGUAGAAUUCCACGUGUAGCAGUGAAAUGCGUAGAGAUGUGGAGGAACACCGAUGGCGAAGGCAGCCCCCUGGGUCAAGAUUGACGCUCAUGCACGAAAGCGUGGGGAGCAAACAGGAUUAGAUACCCUGGUAGUCCAGCCCUAAACGAUGUCUACUAGUUGUCGGGUUUUAAUUAACUUGGUAACGCAGCUAACGCGUGAAGUAGACCGCCUGGGGAGUGCGGUCGCAAAGAUUAAAACCGUAGAAAGUUAGUACGGCGNGNGAGAGCGACGACGACGACGAGGAGGAGGAGG
Molecule: ribosomal RNA, 623 nt
Filed under: uncultured bacterium
Lineage: Bacteria
Description: bacterial SSU rRNA
Rfam family: Bacterial small subunit ribosomal RNA
Source: RNAcentral